Molecule: transfer RNA, 83 nt
Filed under: Myxococcales bacterium
Lineage: Bacteria; Pseudomonadati; Myxococcota; Myxococcia; Myxococcales
Description: tRNA-Leu
Rfam family: tRNA
About the family: Transfer RNA (tRNA) molecules are approximately 80 nucleotides in length. Their secondary structure includes four short double-helical elements and three loops (D, anti-codon, and T loops).
Source: RNAcentral
GGCCCGGUGGCGAAAUCGGGAGACGCAGCGGGCUUAAACCCCGUGGUCCUGGCGACAUGAGGGUUCGAUCCCCUCCCGGGCUA